GGUGCUAAUCGUGCAGUCGACUAAUACAUGCAGUCGAGCGAAUGGAUUAAGAGCUUGCUCUUAUGAAGUUAGCGGCGGACGGGUGAGUAACACGUGGGUAACCUGCCCAUAAGACUGGGAUAACUCCGGGAAACCGGGGCUAAUACCGGAUAAUAUUUUGAACUGCAUGGUUCGAAAUUGAAAGGCGGCUUCGGCUGUCACUUAUGGAUGGACCCGCGUCGCAUUAGCUAGUUGGUGAGGUAACGGCUCACCAAGGCAACGAUGCGUAGCCGACCUGAGAGGGUGAUCGGCCACACUGGGACUGAGACACGGCCCAGACUCCUACGGGAGGCAGCAGUAGGGAAUCUUCCGCAAUGGACGAAAGUCUGACGGAGCAACGCCGCGUGAGUGAUGAAGGCUUUCGGGUCGUAAAACUCUGUUGUUAGGGAAGAACAAGUGCUAGUUGAAUAAGCUGGCACCUUGACGGUACCUAACCAGAAAGCCACGGCUAACUACGUGCCAGCAGCCGCGGUAAUACGUAGGUGGCAAGCGUUAUCCGGAAUUAUUGGGCGUAAAGCGCGCGCAGGUGGUUUCUUAAGUCUGAUGUGAAAGCCCACGGCUCAACCGUGGAGGGUCAUUGGAAACUGGGAGACUUGAGUGCAGAAGAGGAAAGUGGA
Molecule: ribosomal RNA, 656 nt
Filed under: Bacillus cereus
Lineage: Bacteria; Bacillati; Bacillota; Bacilli; Caryophanales; Bacillaceae
Description: bacterial SSU rRNA
Rfam family: Bacterial small subunit ribosomal RNA
Source: RNAcentral